UUUUUUUUAGUUCGGUUAGUUUAUACCGAAUAAGUCCAAAAUCAAGAUAAUGGGUCAAAACAAAAAUUAUAGAAUGGGCGAAGAUAAACAAAAUUUUAUAAUUACAAACCAAUAAUUGGGCCAAAACGAAAAACAAACUUAAACCCAAAAUAACUAAAAAUCCAAACCUAUUAAAAAUUAGGGUUGAUGGUAUCUUGGUGCCGCUACCCUCUUCAUAAUCAGCAGAUCUACGUCUGUGACGGUGACGGUGAUAGCGAGGGAUGACGAUAUCUCCGUAACGAAAUAUGCCCCGACGUGCUACCAUAGUGAAAACCACAUGCAGAUAGAGAGAAUUGACUAAAUAGCCAUGGAUGAGGAUCAAAAGGAAACGGAGAAGAAGCUAAAAAGAUUAGAUCUAAUGUUUUUAUCUUUAUAU
RNAcentral lists this small RNA (415 nucleotides) under Arabidopsis thaliana (thale cress). Its description in RNAcentral is "ATSL084050". Lineage: Eukaryota; Viridiplantae; Streptophyta; Magnoliopsida; Brassicales; Brassicaceae. The record is from RNAcentral.